This 270-nucleotide ribosomal RNA is filed under the name uncultured archaeon. RNAcentral describes it as "partial 16S ribosomal RNA". It matches the Rfam family "Archaeal small subunit ribosomal RNA", at positions 477 to 746 of the family's 1478-position model. The record is from RNAcentral.
CAGCGCCACGAGUGGUAACCACGUUUAUUGGGCCUAAAGCGUCCGUAGCCGGUUUGAUAAAUCUUUUGUGAAAUUGUACAGCUUAACUGUACAGCGUGCAAGAGACACUGUCAAACUUGAGACCGGGAGGAGUCAGAAGUAUUCCAGAGGGAGCGGUAAAAUGUUAUAAUCUCUGGAGGACUACCUGUGGCGAAGGCGUCUGACCAGAACGGAUCUGACGGUGAGGGACGAAAGCCAGGGGAGCGAACCGGAUUAGAUACCCGAGUAGUC